RNAcentral lists this ribosomal RNA (253 nucleotides) under uncultured bacterium. RNAcentral describes it as "partial 16S ribosomal RNA". It matches the Rfam family "Bacterial small subunit ribosomal RNA", at positions 524 to 776 of the family's 1533-position model. The record is from RNAcentral.
GACAGAGGAGCCAAGCGUUGUCCGGAUUGACUGGGCGUAAAGCGCACGCAGGCGGCCUGGCGCGUGGGGUGUGAAAGGUAGCGGCUUAACUGCUACACGCCAUCCCAUACGGCCGGGCUCGAGCCAUGCAGAGGUCCACGGAAUUCCGGGUGUAGCGGUGGAAUGCGUAGAGAUCCGGAAGAACACCGGAGGCGAAGGCGGCUUGCUGGGCGUGAUCUGACGCUGAGGCGCGAAAGCGUGGGGAGCGAACAGG